CUCUCAUCGCGCGAUCCAGAACAAAGAACAGAAACACAAACCUGGAAGGGCAACCCGAAGGAGAGAAAAAAAGAGGAUACGAAAACACUGCAACCAACACCGCCAGACAAUCAGACCAAACCAGUGAUUUCAUCAAUUAAUCCAACGCGAGUGCACCCAAACAGAGGGGUAACCCACGGGCUGAAGCGCCCCGAGCUGUUGGGUUUUACUAUUAGAAUAACGAGGCUGGACCGAGGUCUUACUGGAGGACACGUACUGAGAGGCUGCGGCUAUCAAUGUAAUACUUGUUUUGAUAAUAAUAAGAUUAAUAAUAAUAAUAAGAGGAAUUGUCUUCAGUAUUAAUCGCAAUGAUGGCUCUGCUGCCCUCUGGUGGCCCGACUGAGGUACUGCGCUUCCAGCUGCCAGGCCACGGAGCCGCCACGCUGCGGAACACGAACCAGCUGCGUUCUGACCAGCGCUUCUGUGACAUCACCAUCGUCGCCAAUGACAACCUCAAGUUCCGGGGGCACAGGGUCAUCUUCGCUGCUUGCUCCCCGUUUCUCCGAGACCAGUUCCUGCUGAACCCCUCCUCUGAGCUGCAGGUGUCUUUCCUGCACAGCUCACGCAUCGUAGCUGACUUGCUGCUCUCCUGCUACACGGGGCUCCUGGAGUUCGGGGUGCGUGACAUUGUCAAUUACCUGACAGCGGCGAGUUACCUGCAGAUGGAGCAUGUGGUGGAGAAGUGCCGCGCUGCGCUCACGCAGUUCAUUGAGCCUCAGAUACACAGCCUGCAGGAGGGGGCUCCUGGGGCGAGCGCAGGGUCAAAGGGCAAGGCAGGGGUGGGAGGAGGUAACCCGGGCAACAGGAAAGGGGCGGGGCUGAUCAAGCAGCAGAAACACCCGAUGCAGGCGCUGUCCCACUCACACCAGUCAAACCAGACCCACCCCAACCAGUUCCAGCUCCUGCAGCACAUUCAUCAGCACGCCCGCUACCAGCACACUACUGGAGAGGCUGAGCAUCCAGGGGAACUGAAGGUCAAAGUGGAGGAAUUUCCUGAAGACUGCGGGGACGACUUUGAAGACGAGUACGAGGAGCUGUCUGACGUGUGCAUCGUGGAGGAUGGAGGGAGCAUGGGGGGAUGGAUGGGGAGGGAGAGAGAGAGGGAGGAGGGGGUGGAGGCCGAGGGAGGAGGCAGUGAAAUCCUAAACAAGGAGGAGGAAGAGGAGGAGAACAGAGAGACGCCGAUGACAAACGAAGCCCAGACGACGUCGACAACAGCCAGGAGCAGCGGCAGCCCCAAGACGAGGGGCAGGAAGCCGACGCCGUGGGAGUACAGGCGCCAGCAGCAGGGCACGCUGGGAAGGGAAGGGACGCCCAUCCAGGAAGGAGACGGGGUUCACUCCACGGGAGAGGGGCUGGGAGGCGGAGGUGGGGAGGAGGAGGAGGGAGGAGGGGAGUCGACUCUGGGAGAGGAAAGGGAGGAAGAGGGGGGCUUCAAAGCCUACUACCAGCCCCUACAGGAGCAUCACCUUGGGGAAGGACACGGCCUGGCGGAGGUGGAGGAGGAGGGCUGUGUAGGUUUGGAGUGCCCGGAGGAUGUUGCCCGGAGAGUGGGAUCCACCUCUUCCAGCUGCGAGGGAACCUCCUUCUCCGUGGAAAUGGCCCAGAGGGAUUUCCUAGCCCCACAUUGCGGGCUGUUCCCACCCCAGCAGCAACAGCAGCAGCAGCAGCUCCCCAUCUCGCUGGGCUCUUCGGGAGUCAAAACCAUCAAGUGCAGCCGGUGUGAGGAGUUCUUCCAGAGCGUGGAGAGGCUGGUGACGCACAUGCGUGCCUCACACUGCGUGUUCAUGUGCCCGCGCUGCGGGAAGCAGUUCAACCACACCAGCAACCUGAACCGCCACAUGAACGUACACCGCGGCAUCAAGUCCCACGCCUGCCACGUGUGCGCCAAGAGCUUCACACAGAAGUCCACGCUGUACGACCACAUGAACCUGCACAGCGGCGAGCGGCCCUACCGCUGCUCCUACUGCCACGUGAGGUUCGCACACAAGCCAGCCAUCCGCCGCCACCUGAAGGAGCAACACGGCAAGACCACCGCCGAGAACUGCAUGGACGCCAACAGCGUGGCAGAGAUCAACGUGGUGGUACGCUGAGAGGAGUGGGGAGAGAGGAGAGGAGAGGGGAGGGGAGGAGAGAAGAGGGGGAAGGAGACUGAGGAAACAGGUUUUAAUCAGUGUAGUGGUGUGCAAGGAACCUGCUGUAGGUUAGUAACUAACUACAACAAACAGAAACACGUUGUAUGCAUGUGCAACCGAGCAUAUUGCUCAGCACAGGAUACUGUUCAGCAGACAUGUUUGCAGACGUCUGCAGUUUAAUUUGGGGGAGAAGGCGAUAGACAGGGAAAGAGUUUUUGCAUGGCGGUGUGAUGAGAGGGGGGGAAGGAGAGGGGGAUGGAAGAGGACAGAGGGGGAAAGAGACAACAAUGAAUAUCAGUUAGUGUAUUAUAAAGAUAAGAAAGGGUGUGAUGGAACUGCACAACAUUCCGCACACUCCAUUGACUUUUAUGACAUCAAACAGUGAGAUGGGUAGAGGGAGAGAUGGAGAAAGAAACUCUUAUUCACACCCACGCUGUAUGACCAUCUCUUAUUUUUUAAGGCGCUGACAGUGGUUGUAGUUUGUUUUAUAUACCACUCCAUGAUUCACUCUUCUGACUUGUAAACGUGCAACACAAUAAACAAGAUCGGACCUUCUCAAGGUGGUGGCUACAAGCAGACAACACAGUUCACCGACUACAAGUCAUUGAUACGCUGGGGUACAGUUGUUUCAGAGGGACAGGUCGUUGAUACGCUGGAGUACAGUUGUUUCAGAAGGACAGGUCAUUGAUACGCUGGGGUACAGUUGUUUCAGAGGGACAGGUCAUUGAUACGCUGGGUAGAGUUGUUUCAGGGGGACAGGUCAUUGAUACGCUGGGGUACAGUUGUUUCAGAGGGACAGGUCAUUGAUACGCUGGGGUACAGUUGUUUCAGAGGACAGGUCAUUGAUACGCUGGGUAGAGUUGUUUCAGGGGGACAGGUCAUUGAUACGCUGGGUACAGUUGUUUCAGAGGGACAGGUCAUUGAUACGCUGGGUAGAGUUGUUUCAGAGGGACAGGUCAUUGAUACGCUGGGGUACAGUUGUUUCAGAGGGACAGGUCAUUGAUACGCUGGGUAGAGUUGUUUCAGAGGGACAGGUCAUUGAUACGCUGGGGUAGAGUUGUUUCAGAAGGACAGGUCAUUGAUACGCUGGGGUACAGUUGUUUCAGAAGGACAGGUCAUUGAUACGCUGGGGUAGAGUUGUUUCAGAAGGACAGGUCAUUGAUACGCUGGGGUACAGUUGUUUCAGAGGGACAGGUCAUUGAUACGCUGGGUAGAGUUGUUUCAGAGGGACAGGUCAUUGAUACGCUGGGGUACAGUUGUUUCAGAGGGACAGGUCAUUGAUACGCUGGGGUACAGUUGUUUCAGAGGGACAGGUCAUUGAUACGCUGGGUAGAGUUGUUUCAGAGGGACAGGUCAUUGAUACGCUGGGGUAGAGUUGUUUCAGAAGGACAGGUCAUUGAUACGCUGGGGUACAGUUGUUUCAGAGGGACAGGUCAUUGAUACGCUGGGGUACAGUUGUUUCAGAGGGACAGGUCAUUGAUACGCUGGGGUACAGUUGUUUCAGAGGGACAGGUCAUUGAUACGCUGGGUAGAGUUGUUUCAGAAGGACAGGUCAUUGAUACGCUGGGGUACAGUUGUUUCAGAGGGACAGGUCAUUGAUACGCUGGGUAGAGUUGUUUCAGAAGGACAGGUCAUUGAUACGCUGGGGUACAGUUGUUUCAGAGGGACAGGUCAUUGAUACGCUGGGGUACAGUUGUUUCAGAGGGACAGGUCAUUGAUACGCUGGGGUACAGUUGUUUCAGAGGGACAGGUCAUUGAUUCACUGGGGACAGUUAGUUACUUGGUGUAAAGUUUAGACAUGAUUCUCAGAACUCUAUUGAGUUGACAGAGUUGAUUUAAAAAAAUGCUCUUAUUAGUGUCCCCCCUGCCUUACUUCCAUGAGAAUCCACUGUGAGUUGUGUUAAGUCUCAGCUUUAGAAUUAUGUUUUUUACUUGUGUAAAUAAGGUUUUUAACAAAUCUGCUUCAGAAGAAUAAAACAGAUUCUGUGUUUUUAUUAAAAAAAA
Polyodon spathula (Mississippi paddlefish) is the source of this 4178-nucleotide RNA transcript. It is a transcript of the gene named zinc finger and BTB domain containing 12, tandem duplicate 1, with no coding region annotated. NCBI's taxonomy places the organism in Eukaryota, Metazoa, Chordata, Actinopteri, Acipenseriformes, Polyodontidae. The record is from RefSeq and is a predicted model, not a curated record. The transcript has 5 exons.